RNAcentral lists this transfer RNA (85 nucleotides) under Felis catus (domestic cat). It matches the Rfam family "tRNA". From Rfam's summary of the family: Transfer RNA (tRNA) molecules are approximately 80 nucleotides in length. The record is from Rfam by way of RNAcentral. Lineage: Eukaryota; Metazoa; Chordata; Mammalia; Carnivora; Felidae.
GCCUGGGUGGCUCAGUAGGUUAAAGCAUCUGACUGCGGCUCAGGUCACGGUCUAUGGUUCGUGGGUUUGAGCCCCGCGUCGGGCU